Mus musculus (house mouse) is the source of this 7945-nucleotide long non-coding RNA. RefSeq annotates it as predicted gene, 52533. The record is from RefSeq and is a predicted model, not a curated record. NCBI's taxonomy places the organism in Eukaryota, Metazoa, Chordata, Mammalia, Rodentia, Muridae. The transcript has 2 exons.
UGUAGGCUUUUAGUUGUUUCUGUUUUUCAAGUCCAGCAUUAAUACAUGGUGAUCUGAUAAGAUGCAAAGGGUUAUUUCAAGUCUUCUUGUAUCCUCAGGAAGGCAGAGAGAGCCAUGAGCAUACAAUGAAGGUCAAGGGACCGGACUCUGCUGGCUCUGCCUCAGGAGGACCCAACUGGCAAGGGAUUGGUGGGGCAGUGUUCCAAGCUGGUUGUGCUUGAGGUCCCCACAGGCUUCCACAGAGAAGCAGGACAUUCUUGGGGUCCCCAAGGCUCCUAGGGGACUAUAGGGUGAGCCAAGAGCCAGACAAUGGAGGUCAGGGGACCACAUGAAACUCCUUUUUUUUGGUUUUUGAAGACAGGGUUUCUCUGUGUAGCCUUGGCUGUCUGGGAACUCACUCUGUAGAGCAGGGUGGCCUCGUAUUUAUAGAAAUCCACCUGCCUCAGACUCCCAAGUGCUGGUAUUAAAGUCAUGAGCACCAUUGCUUUGUUAUUUUCAUUUUAAAUAAAGUUUUUUUUUAAAAAAUGAUAGCUCCUUUCUGCUUGAUAUCCGAAGAUCUUUUCCUCUUCACACAAAGCUCUUGCUUAUCCUUUCAGACUUCCUAAAUAUGAAAUACCCACUGUCUACUCUAAGAUGCAAAACUUCCCACAUUUUCACAAACAUGUGAAAUUAAAAUACAUUGUUUAGUCAGGGAACCAUGGUGUCACCUAAAGCCUUAGCCUACUUAUUCUACCCAUAUUUUUCCUUUUUUGUCUAAUCUAAAAAAUGGUAAGUAAGCAAGCUCUCAAGAGCAGGUAAACAAACUAAACAGUCCUAUGAUCCCAAAGGAAAUAGAUAGGAGCAGUCAUUAAAUCUCCCAGCCAAUCAAUCAAGCAAGCCCAGGGCCAGGUGGUUUUAGUACAGCAUUCUAUCAGACUCUCAAAGUUGAUGUCUCUGUCAUCCUGGAAUCACAGGGUCAGUGAGUCUGCAAUAGUUCUACUAGACAAAUGUCAGCCUACCUGCCUGUUUUCAUCUUUUUCCAUUUGGGGGAGCAUUCCUAAUGAAGGACUUGUUGGUGCCCCUGGUGUUUUUGCUACUGCAAACAGUGCUGCAGUGGGGCAGCUUGUACUUGCUAGUGAAGGCCACAGGCAGUGGAUGGAGACUGUUUCCCACUGUUUCCCACAGAUGAACCAGUAGAGUGUGCUGUGGUAGGCGGAAGUUCAGUAAGUGAAACUGCACUCCCCUCAUAGUUUUGCAUGUGCUAAUAAAUAUAAUAAAUAAACCAUUUAUUGCGCUCUUUCCUACAUUUCAUGAUAAGCUAAGCUAAUUCCUUCCCCUGCAUGAUCUCAUUCCAUCCUCAGACCAUCAGUCCUGUGAUACAGAACUGCUUUUUUUUUUUUUUAAAGAACCCAACUAUUUCUGGAACAAAUAUAGAAUAAUUCAUGAAGUAAGGAAGUUUCAACAUGAAGAUACAGUCAACAAUUUCAGGUUCCAGAGGGAUGCUACAUACACAGGAAAAUGAGAUUUGACUAGUAUUUCCCCAAAAGGUGAUUUUGAACUAAGGGAUAAACAGAAGGGGCCCAGGGGAGUAGGAUUAUAACACCAAGUGUAUCUCUUAUUCAUGUAACAAGGAGCAGUCCCCUCGUUCUCCCUUCAGAACAGUUGAUAUAAACAACCGUUUAGAGUAUCUUACCUAAGUUACAUUCAUAGCAAGCUCUCUACAGCUGGAAUUGGAUCUACUCUUACUGAUGGGGAAAACAGCUGAAAUUAAUAUGCUGAGUCACUAAAGAAAUGGUCCAUUUGUUCCUCAACUGUCCUUCUGAAGUCUAUAGUAAUGACUCUCAGGAAGUGAAAAGAAGAGAAUAUAUGUCCCUAAUAGGGUGAGUCCCAAUCCCAGCGAUUGGGGUUGGCUCCAAGACAAUCCUUAAGACACAAAUGUUGCAUUUCUAUGUCCUAUGAUUAACUGGAGUGCCUCAGACCAGAGGUGAGCACUGACGGUCAUGUUAUUCCCAAGAAAUCUCUGCCAGAUUCUUUUUCCUACUGAACAAAUCCUCCCAACUACAUAAUUUGCAGCUUUUACAACAGAUGGUAUCCUUUUUUCAAAAAAAAAAAUCUCUUAGAUUAUUCAUAUCAUUAUGAACCAACUAGCAAGUUAGCCAUAUACGGUGAGUAUAGCAAAUUCCCUCAGAAGCCUUGAGCUAACUCUCACGCUGAUAAGGAUGACUUUUGUUGUUAUUGUUUGUUGUUAUUUGGGUUUUUUCACUUCUGGUUUAUUAUUGUAUAGGUGUGCAUGUGCAGACAUGAUCAUGCAUAUUCAUAGGCACAUAUGUACAUCAGAGGACAACUUGCUAGAGUUGUUUCUCUCCUUCCAUAUGUAUCUUAUGGAUCAAAAGCCAGCCUCACUGAGCAUUACAGUAGGAAAUACUGUCACCUGCUGAGCCAUCUCAACUGCUCCAUUAUCACUUUUAAAACAGGAUCUUGCUAUGUUGCCAAGGCUGGUCUUGAACUCAUGGAUUCAAGCAGCUCCUUCACUUCAGCCUCCCAAGUAGCUGGUGGACUAUAAAUGUGUGCCAGUGCAUCUGGCUGAUCUAGCAGCUUUUAAAGUCUGAAUGUAUUCCCAUCAUCCCAACAAAUCUAGCUGCCACAACACGUCUAACAAACCCUACACUCAGGUACUAAUUUAAAUUUUUCAUUUAAAAAAUGUUUAUGUGCGUGGAUAUUCUGUCUGCAUGAAUGUCUGUGCACCAUGUGAUGCCUGAUACCCUCAGAGACCAGAAGAGGCCAUUGGAUACCAAAAAUGGAGUUACAGAUGGUUGUGAGUGCUGAAAAUCGAACCUGAGUCCUCUGGAAAACCACCCAGCGCUCUUAACCACCUCUUUAGCACCCCUACGAGUACCGUUUAUCAUUUUCCAGAUGAGGAACACAGCAGCUAAGCAAUUCAUCCGUUGCACCAAAGCCAGCAUAUGCAGGUCCACAAUCUUACAAUAAAUUUGGCCAUAGUACAUUUCAUUUCGAAGCUUACUCAUUAGCCACUCAGAACAUUUGUCUUCCUAAGUAUUUAUGCAUAUAGUAAUGAAGAACAUCAUAUUUCCAACUUAGCGUCUCCAGGAUAUUGGUGUAUAUUUUUAUGACUAAUUAUGACUGAUUAUAGUAUCUAUGCAAAUUAUAAUUCUUCCUAGCUUGAGAAAGAUAGCCACACCUUUUACUUUCUAUGGUGAGGCCAGUCUUUGGUGAAUUGGUCAAAUACAUAUUUACCUGUUAACAUCUCAGGUGUCUUAGUUUGAUUUUCUGUUGCUGUAACAAAAAUACUCUAACAAAGGACUAGAGAGAUGGCUCAGUAGUUAAGGUCUCGGGGUGCUCUUGCAGGGAUCUAGGUUUAAUUCCCAGCACUCAGUUCCAGUGGAUCCAGUGUUCUCUUUUGGUUUCCAUAGUUACCAGGCAAGCAUGUGGUACAUAUACAAGUAGAAGGAGCACUCAUGCACAUAAAGUAAAUUUUAAAAUCUAAAAAUGUACUCUGACAGAGGCAGCUUAAGGGAGAAAGGGUUUCUUUUAGCUCACAUUUCCAGGUUACAGUCCAUCCUUGUGAGGAAGGCACAACCGCAUGAGCCAGAGACACUAUUCACACCACAUCCAUAGUCAAGAAGCAGAACAGAGCAAAUGAGUGUGUGCAUGCUUGCACACAACUCACUUACUCCACUCUCACACAGUUCAGGAGCGCCUGCCACUGGAAUGGUGUCACCCACAGUGGGUAGGUCCUCUCACAAUUACUCACGGACAUGCAACUAGGCCAACUGGUCUAGACCGUCACCCAAACUGCUGUCUUCGCAGAUAAUUCUAGAUUGUGUCAAAGUUGACAACUAAAAAUAACUCAUCAGCUAUAUGAGCAAAUAGUAUUCCUUUUAAAAUGUUGCUUCCUGGAUCUAUCUUGUUUCUUUCCUUCAGUUUUACCUUCUUUUGUGAAUGACUGUUGUGUGUAAAGGUUGACAUCAAGUAUCUAGCUUAGUUGCUUCCUACCUUCUAUAUUGAUGUGGGAUCUCUCACUUCAACACAGAUCACUGAUUAGGCUAGUUUCUAGGUAGGACACUUCCUCUGGGAGUCUCCUAUAUCUGCCUCCCAGGUGCUAGGAUUACAGCCAGGCUGCCAUGCCCACCAGCAUAUACAUGGAUGCCAAAGAUCCAAACUGCAGUUCUCAUUCUUGUUUAGCUAUCCGUCCGGACAUACAGAAUGGCUCAUAUAAGAAUGUACGUUUUCACAUUUCAAUUUUAGAAUUACAUUACUUCUUGUGUGCACAUGUGCAUGAACACACAUGCACACAGGUACAUGCAUGCCAUGACUUGUUUGUGAAGGUCAAAGUACAACUUGGGAAGUCUGUUCUCUUGCAGUCUCUGGGUACAGCGUCUGAACUUACCAAGUUAGGCUUGGUGGUAGAUAUCUUUACCCACUGAGCCAUCUUUUAAAUACGUUUUUCUAAAACAUUUAUCUUUAAAGAGACUCAUGAUCAACUAUCAUAUAAUUUUAGGAAAUCCAGCUGCUACAACUCUACAUUAAAGUAGAUUUUCUCAUCACAUCACGUAUAAAAUAUAAUCUGUAAGACAGCUAAAGGAUUGAAAGAAAACAGUCAUCACUCCCAGCUGAGAGACAUUUGCUCCUGGGCUCUGCUCACUUAGCUCUUAAGAAGCUAUGGGAAUGGACUCGGGGCAGACUGCCAAUAAUCUCAGCAUUGCCCCUUAGCUUCAAGAAUCUAGGCAAGUCACACAGCCCUUUGGCCUUCUCUUCUGCAAAGUGGAGAUACCAACGUCACAGGUUGACAAUGGGGACAAAAGUGAGGUAUUAUAUAUACAGCCAUGUGACCAAAACUAUAUUAUACUUAGAAGUUGGAGAACACAGAAAAAUGUAUGAACUUGAGGGGGCGGGAAAUAGACUGCCUAUGACACCAAAGGCAUGAGCAACAGAAGGAAUAUACAAAGCAAACAUAAGAUUUAAAAUGUUUGUGUGAAGGACUUUAAAAAGAAAACCAAGGGCUACUGGCUACUUAGCAACUGGCUUAGUGGCUGAGAAAACUGGCUGCGCUUCCCAAGGAUCUGGGCUCAAUUCCCAGCAUCCACAUAGCAGCUCACAACUGUAACUCUAACUCCAGGAGAUCUGAUACCCUCUCCUGGCCCCCAUAGACACUAGUUAUACAGGUGGUGCACAGACAUUCAUGAAGGCAAAUCACCCAUACACAUAAUGAUUUUUUAAAAACUUAAAAAGAAAAUUGAAGUUAUAGAAUAUGAGAAAACAUUUGCAAAUCAAGUCUGAUUCAAGGACACAGUAGCCAAAAGAUGUAAAAAAAAAACAAAAACAAAAACAAAACUCUACAACUCAGCAAAAAUAAUUUUCAAAUAGAGAAAAGAAUUAAUAAUAAUAAUUCCUAGCACUUUGUAUGAGACUAAUAUAGUGAUGUCCAAACCAGACAAUAGGUAAGUGCCCAGAAACAGGCCAAUAUCCCUCACAAACAUAGAUUCCAAAAUUUCUCCACAAAAUAUCUGGAAAGUACGGGGCGUGGUGGCGCACGCCUUUAAUCCCAGCACUCCGGAGGCAAAGGCAGGUGGAUUUCUGAGUUCAAGGCCAGCCUGGUCUACAAAUUGAGUUCCAGGACAGCCAGAGCUAUACAGAGAAACCCUGUCUCAAAAAAAUAAAACAAACAAAAAAGUCUGGAAAGCAAGUCUAGCAACUUAUCAAAAGGAUUAGCACUGUGACUUUCUCACAGAAAGGGUGAUUGAACACAAGGUCUGCCAGUGUAACUAACAUACCAUGCUAAUGUUUCCUCAGGGGAAAUGGCAUGAUAUCCUCUCAAUAGACACAGAAAGCAUGCAACAACGUCUAGUACCUGUGCUUGGUUGUUGUUGUUGUUUUUUUUAAUCUACAACUUAAGAAUAGGAGCAAUUUUUAAAUUUUUAUCUUUAUACUCUCUAGGGGAGUGGACCUCAGGUCUUCAAGGCUUGGGUGGCAAGAAGUUGACUAUCCCCAGCCUCACUUCAUAUGAUUUUGAGACUAUUUCCUAACUCCAGAGUUUAUUUUUGUAACUGGAUGAACUAAGACUGCUUGCAGGGAUAAAGGGCCAAGGCGACUUUAAAUGACAGAAGUCAUUGGUGCCAACCCUAGAUCCUAUCACCAGACUUGAAAAAACUCAAGCCCUCAAGGUGCAUGGACACUCUAGAUCAAGCAAAGCAAAAACUGUUAUAGCUCCUGGGGUCCUGCAUACUCAGUGCAAAGGUCAUGAGCACUAAAGUGUACAGUGACACCUCCUCUGAUUCUUGCUAUAGCUUCUUGGCCUGCUUUCUGGUUAUCAGGCAGAGCCCUCAUCUGUCACACUCUAUCUCUGCUUCCCUUCUUCGGAAGGUGGAGAACUCAUUACUUGUCAUUCUGUCACUAGGUCUGCCCAUCAGAAAGUCUUCUGAGCCCCAAAUUGACCUGCCUCCCCUUACUCUCUGAGAAUCUUUGCAGUGGUCUCCUAGAGACACUUGGACUGUGGGAUCCUUAAGGGUACAAGGCAUAGUUGGUCAAGUCUCUGGAGAGUAGGCUGCCUUAUCUGGGCCUACCUGCCAGCCCAGUGCCCACUGAAGCAAAAUCUCUGAAAACCCAGGUCCCUACCCUCAUGAAGGAUCCUUCUAGGAGGAAGAGAGUCAGUUAGUCCUACACAUACACAUGGACAGACAGACACACAACACAGAGAGAGAGAGAGACCAGCACACAGACAUGAACACGUAAAGGUACUGUACACUACUCAGGGACUUCUGUGCUAACCUUCUAACGGCCCUCCCCAAGAGAGGCUAUGGGUCACAGGUUUUGAGAUUCCUCUUCUUUCUCUUUCACUGUAAGAAAUUCCAGGCUUUAUAAAAAAGAAAACACUAUACUUCCUGCCCUCCCUUGCAGCUAGAAAUAGCUGUGUGACAAAGUUCUAGCCAAUAGAAUAUAAGCAUAGAAGUUUCUUCCCUUCUCUUCUAACUGGACUGCAGACAUAGUGGAGCUUCAUGUACACAAGAAAGAGCCACACCCUGGGGACAGAACGCACUAGCCAGACUUUGCCAUGCAGAACAGCCACACAUUGAGAGAGCCCAUUUGGAUCUUCCAUUAUAAGUUGACAUAUCCAUAGCCUCACUAAAUGCAACUUUUAUCUGAAGCUGUGAGAACAAACUGUAGCCCCAUGGAGGCAUCACUACAUAGAGACACUCCUGGUGACAAAGACACAAAGGAGAACAUGAGAGUACAGGGACCUCAUUCUGUUGGGAGCACCUCUGAGCAAAGAGUUGUAGGAAGAAAGUCCAGAACAAAUCAGGGGAACUCUGAUGGACAGAUGUUCAACUCUCCCAAGUAGUUACAAGGACCCAGCAUGGUCCUGUAGGCUUAGACUUUCUAAACCUACUUUAAUAAGUGUUUUCAAAUGCUUUGACCUCCCCGCCUUCUAGCAUCCAAAGGCAGAGGAGAAAAGAUGGUAAGUAGGACAAGGGGAUGUGGACCUGUUUAGUAGUAGUUUCUUGGGACAAUUCCAAUCUCUGUCGGGAUACCAGUAGUCCAGUUUGGCAGUGUCAGGAUACCCAACACAAAUCAGCAAUGGUGGCAAGAUCCAUCAGAAACCACCAGGUCUCUGCCUUAUCAACACAAGUCAGCAGGAAUGACCAGGACCAGCCGAGAUGCCAGGAGACGUUCUCUGCGGUGCUUCUUUUAUGGAAGUGAAGAUUAACAAAGAGGAAGGCGGGAGCCCAACGAAGUGUUGCUAAGCUAGCUAUGCAAGCCUGCCAUCACGUCCAUUGAGUCCUAUUUAUACUCUCUCCAAACAUCACCUGGCCUCCCACAGGUCUUGCCUCAGCAAAACACCGUGUGAGUCUGUACCAGCUGACAUAUCCAGAAACUUCCACUUCAUGGUGCUAAUUCAUGGUAGGUGUUCAGUAAUUGGUUAUCACAACUAAAAAAAAAAUUGGUCAUU